Long non-coding RNA from Symphalangus syndactylus (siamang), 2740 nucleotides. RefSeq lists it as uncharacterized. The record is from RefSeq and is a predicted model, not a curated record. NCBI's taxonomy places the organism in Eukaryota, Metazoa, Chordata, Mammalia, Primates, Hylobatidae.
UGCCCCUGGUAGCGUCUGCCAGUAGCUGCACUGAAAGGGUCUACCAAGGGUACACUAUGGACAUUUUUCAUUUAAAGGUGAAAGAUUUUUAAAAAUGCAUUGCUAAGAAACAUCCCUGGCUGGGCGUGGUGGCGCACACCUGUAAUUCCAGCACUUUGGGAGGCCGAGGCAGGUGGAUCACUUGAGGUCAGGAGUUUGAGACCAGCCUGGCCAAUGUAGUAAAACCUCGUUUCUACUAAAAACACAAAAAUUAGCCAGGCGUAGUGGCUCAUGCCUGUAAUCCCAGCUCCUCGGGUGGCUGAGGCAGGAGAAUCACUUGAACUCAGAAGGUGGCGAUUGUAGUGAGCUGAGAUCACACCACUGCACUCCAGCCUGGGCAACAGAGUAAGACUCUGUCUCAAAAAAAGAAAAGAAAAGAAAAGAAAGGAAACAUUCCUUUUAUCAAAUAAGAAAUAAAUAUUUUUCAAAAAUUAAAAAAAAUGCUCAGAGGAUUACCGGGUACUUUGUGAAUAAAUGUUUUCCCUACAGACUUGGAUAAGCUAAGCUGGGAUCCACGCAGCAGGAGGGAUUGCCCUGUGUGCUAGGCAAGGCUGGCAUCAGUGACAGCAGCGUCAGGCUGUGCUCGGAUCACGGGCCCAUCUGUAGUUAUACUUUUUAAAUUUUUUUUCUUUUUUUGUUUUUGUAGAGAUAGAAUCUCACUGUGUUGCCCAGGCUGGUCUCAAACUCCUUGCCUUGAUUUGGCCUCCCAAACCAAUCUAUGUUUUAUUCUUUUUUUUUUUUUUUUUUUUUUUGAGACAAAGUCUGGCUCUGUCACCCAGGCUGGAGUGCAGUGGCACGAACUCAGCUCACUGCAACCUCCACCUCCCUGGUUCAAGUGAUUCUCCUGCCUCAGCCUCCCGAGUAGCUGGGACUACAGGCACAUGCCACCACGCCGGGCUAAUUUUUGUAUUUUUAGUAGAGAUGGGGUUUCACCAUGUUGGCCAGGCUGGUCUCGAACUCCUAACCUCAGGCAAUCUGCCCACAUCAGCCUCCCAAAGUACUGGGAUUACAGGCAUGAGCCACUGCACCUGGCCUAAAAGUUUAUUUUCCAUCAGUCUGCAUUCUCCAAUUUUUUAAAGUCAGAAUUUUAUUGUUUUGUUGCUGUUAUUAGAGACAAGAUCUCACUCUGUCACCCGGGCUGGGGGGCAGUGGCAUAGUCACAGCUCACUGCAGCCUCAAACUCCCGGGCUCAAGCCAUCUUCCCACCUCAGCCUCUCCAGUAGCUGGGACUACAGGCGCACGCCAUCACCCUGGCCAAUUUUUUUUUUGUAAAGACAGGGUCUUGGUAUGUUGCCCAGGCUGGUCUUGAACUCCUGGCUCAAGCGAUCCUUCCACCUUGGCCUCCCGCAGUGCUGGGAAUACAGGCAUGAGCGAUCAUGCCUGGCCUUAAGUGAGAAUUCUUAUGUGUCCUUUUCUUUUCUUUUCUUUUCUUUUCUUUUCUUUUCUUUUUUUUUUCUUUUUUCUGUCCCUCUCUCUCUCUCUCUCUCUCUCUCUCGUCGCCAGGCUGGAGUACACUGGCACAAUGUCUGUUCACGGCAACCUCUGCUUCCCAGAUUGAAGCGAUUCUCCUGCCUUAGCCUCCCAAGCAGGACUAUACAGGCUUGUGCCACCACGUCUGGCUAAUUUUUGUAUUUUUAGUAGAGAUGGGGUUUCACCACAUUGGCCAGGAUGGUCCGAUCUCCUGACCUCAUGACCCCCCCGCCUCAGCCUCUCAAAGUGGGAUUAUAUGUGUGAGCCACCGCCCCGGCCCUCACGUGUCAUUUCUUUUUAUAGGAAGGAACCAAUUUUAAAAGAAAGCCAAUUUAAGAGUUCAGCUUUUAGGUUUUAUAUCUAUAUAAACUAUAUCAUUUCAGACUUUCAAAAUUAUAUAUAUAUGCAAUCCAUGCUUAUAGAAAAUUGAAAAAUACAAAAAUAUAGAAAUGUGAGAAGGAGAAAAGCCACAUAGAACUCUCCACAAAGGUGACAGUGAAUGUCAUUUCAGUGCGUUUUCCUCCUGUUUUCUUUUAAAAAAAAUCUAUAGCAGGGACUUGGCUGAAACCUUGUAUUUGCAUAUUCACAACUGCUGGUGAUCAGAAUCACAACUGGUUACGGGCUUAAAUACUUAAAAAAGAAAUACCCCUUUUCUGUGAAUGAUCUGUUUAAGUGGGUAAAGUGCUCUGCCACCCUAAGUUAGGAGUUUAUAUCUGUGACACUCCUUCCCUCCAGCGAAACAGCAAAGGGAGGUGGUCAGGGAAGUUCCAGGAAUGCAGGCCUCUGGCCCCAGAGUGGGGGAGGGGCCGUGGAUGCUGACAGUUGGGGGCCCAGCGGGGACAGUCCCAAGCAGCAUGGCUGGGUGUCUGUGGUUCCCUCCUAUCAAGAAGGAACCUCUCCACCCUUCUUCAAAGUGGGCAGAAUCCUGACACCCACCCCACCAGCUGGAUGAGUAUCAGCCAAGUCAUCGCUGACCCCGGAGUUGGGCUGACCUUCCUUGGCCACCCAGAUGCCGACGCCUGACGCCCCUGUAGCCUGGAACUGCUGGGUGUGCCUGUGCCUUCUCCCUCUCACCCUGCCGGGAGUUCUGAGUUCCUUCUCCAAGGAGGGCUGUGCCCUAGACUUCCGGGCCACUUCCCUCUACCCUUCUCCAGGAAAUAACUUAGCUACUUCAUGCCCUAAUUGAAUUCCAUUGCAUUUUUUCUUCUUAAAAUAAAAGACUAAAAACUAA